Long non-coding RNA from Equus caballus (horse), 4053 nucleotides. RefSeq lists it as uncharacterized. Lineage: Eukaryota; Metazoa; Chordata; Mammalia; Perissodactyla; Equidae. The record is from RefSeq and is a predicted model, not a curated record.
AAAAAAAAAAAGCAAAGAAAUGGAAAUAAUGAUAAAUACCCAACAAAAGAAGAAGAUUUAAAUAAAUGAUGGUACACACUCAAGGGACUAAACAGGCAGCCAGUCAACUGAAGCCUGAGAUAUAACAUUGUCAAAAGCAGGGUACAAAACUGGAGACACAGUAUGUGGUACCAUAUGUAAAGACGAGCCCAAUCUGUGCAAAGAAAAAAGAUCAAAUGGAAAUAUGUCAAUGUUCACACCAGUGAUGUUUUCAGCAGUAGGGUCAUAGAUGACUUUUUCCUUUUGCCUACUUUUCUGGACUCAAAUUUUCCUUAAUGAAUAUAUAUUACUUAGAUUAUUUAUUGCCACAGUUAAUUACAACAGAAAACAAAUCUCAUGCUCCAAAGAGAAAUUUGAAAUUUUGCAUACUUUCCUUGUAACGGUUUAUAGCUCAUAGCAUUUCCCCCUCACCCCAAGGAAAAAAAGACUUGAAGCUUACUUAUUAUGGUAAAACACAUAAUAUAAAAUUUACCAUUUUAACUAUCUUUGAACGUACAGUUCACUAGUGUUAAGUAUAUUCAUUGUUGUGCAACUAAUCUCCAGAAUUUUAAUCUUGCAAAACGGCAUAAUCCAUUUUUUAAAAGCCUUCUGCAUUUAUUAUUACAACUUUCUCUGUCUGUAAGGUAGAUUAACUGCGUUGCCCUUUUGUUAUUUUCUUCAGUUUGCUCUGUUUUUUCUUUUGUUUUGAAGCAUUGUCUUCUGAAAAAGCCAAAGACCUGAAGCUGCAACAGGGAUAGCAGGGGAGGAGAGGGCAGCAGGUGCUGGGACAAGGAGUAAGAGAGGAGGACGCAAGGAUACCCAGAGCAGACACAGCUAGGCCCACCAGAACCCAGUACAGCCUGGGGGCUUCCCUUACUCCAAGCUGCCCUUCUGAGGAAUGGCCUUGCUUGGCCAACAGAACUGCCACCUGAUACCAACAUUCCCCAAAGGCAGAAUGGAGAGAUGUCACAUUGCCUCAAGAAUCCAUGAAUAUAGAGCUUCCUGCCUGCAGCCCCACCUCACUCUCUUGCAAAACUGUCUGCAGUGGCCUAGGCCUGGGGGGCGGGGCGGGGGGUGGGGGGGCUGACUCACUAUCACACAACACCAGAGCAGCCCUGUCCCUGGGGAAAACAAAACCCAGAGGACAGAAACAAGCUAGGAUCAGAACCUAGGCCCUCCGACUCCGACCCAAGUCAUUCCAUCAACAUUUGCUGAAUGCUGCAGACAGAUCACCUACUUAGCUCACUGAUGGCUAGUUCUUCAAAAGGUUUAUCAAGAGUGCAAAAGGCAGUAGAAAAGGAUAAGGUCGAGUCAAAGGGCGGGGCCAAGACCAGCGGGAGUGCACUAACUAUGCAACGCUCCAAAGCUGUGAUCUGAGAAUGUCAGUGCUGGGAGGAACCUCUGAGAAACACCUCUCCAGAGCUCAACAGGCUGACGGUUCUGAAAUGUGUUCUGGCUUAGAACUUCUAGGCACAUCAACUGAGCAGAGAGGAGAGACCAAGAGGUCUGGAUCCAGCUCUGGGACUGAGCCCCUGUACAAUCACGUAGCACAGAAAGAUGACCACUCACUCCGGCCCACAGCACUGGCAGUAAAAGAAGUAGGAAUCCUCCAACUCAGGAGGUGGGUUGGAGUCCUGAGGAAGAGAUUUACCUCAAAUCAGGAAGAGAUUUACCUCAAAUCAGCCCCGAGUUCCACUCCAGGACCCUGGGGCAAAGAAUGCAGGAUCAAAGGGAGCUUGGAUGAGGUAAUGACAGUAGGAGGGGAAUCCAGGACAAUGUCUGUUAGGCCCCCAGUUUCUGGAGUUCUCCCCACAAGGCUAAUGUGGCAACAGGCAGACAGGAUCAAAUCCCACAAUGUUUCAACAAAGUCAUCAGCUAAGCCUGUCAAAUCGGGAAGGCCCCAGCAACCCCAAGGUUCACAGAAGCCACAGAGGAGGAGACUGAGGCUGAGCUGGGCAAAGCACAGGGAGGCAGAUUUCAGUUUAACCUCGAGAGCCAGAUCCCUCUGUGGAAAGGGCUCAAGGGGCCACAUGAUUUGUCAGGAUUACACAGACCUAAUUUCAAUCCUCUGCCACUUACUAUCUUAAUGACCUUGAGCAAGCCACCCAAACUCUUCAUUCCUUCCAUCAAAAGACAUCAGGCACCUUCUAAGUACCAGCCACUAGACUAGAUCCUUGGGAUACAAUUCUGGAAAAACACAGAUCUGGCCUCUGUCCUCAUGGAACCUAAAGCUAGGGGAGACUGACACUAAAAAAAUUAAUAUUUACAUAAGAACUAAUUACUAAAAAGGCUAAAAUAAAGAAUUAAUUAUUAAAAAGGCAUUAAAAGAGCUAUGAAAAACACUGCAGUGAAAGGGGUUCCUAACCAAGCCUAGGUCACCUGAGAAGGCUUCUCUGAGGGAGCGAUAUUUUAGGCUGAGAGGUAAAGGAUGGGCAGGGGUUAGCCAGACGAAGAAAGGCGGAAGUGGAGGCCCUGAGGCAGGAAGGAGCUGGUGCACUUGAAACACUGAAAGGAAACGAGUGUGGCUAGGGAGUUGUGAGAAAGAGGAAAGCAGUAAAACCUUAUUGGCCACAUGAAGAAUUCUGGACUCAAAACAGGAAGUCUUCUACAGGCAAGUUUAUUUAAGUAAGGACUGACAGGAUCAGACUCAAAAUUUUAAAAGAUUACUCUGUCUUCUGUGUGAAAAACGGAUUGGAGAUGAGAUCAACAUAGACUCAGAGGACCAGCUAAGAGACAACUGCAAUUCUUUAAAAGUAACAGACAACGGAGGCCUGUGUUAAGGUGAGAAGACUGAUGCCCAAGCAGGAAGAGAGCCCCGCCUGAGGCCAGAGAGAGCUGGUGGCAGAGCUGAGCCAGUGCCUAAUCAGUUCGAGCAGAUGAUUUCAGAAACACUUGACAAACUGAAUAAAAUAACCACUUCUCAGGGCUACUGUAGAGGAGAUUCCAUGUCACAGCGUGGUCUGAAAUGACUUCAGACAACAGAUGGCAUCAAGAGAGAAUUGGCAUUUACUCGUGAUUAUGAUUUGUUGUUCUACAUCUUGCUCUGUGUGUCAGGUCAAACCAUUCUCAGAGGAGGACCAAGGGAAGAACCAGACCUAGUUCCUGACCUGGAGGGCAGAACAGCUCCAAAAUCAACUAUGACUCUCUGGGAUAGGAGCUGUGAUCAGAGAAUGUACAAAAGACUAUGGAAAAUGACUAGGACGGAAAAUGUGGUAUAUACAUACAGUGGAAUAUUAUUCAGCCCUAAAAAGGAAGGAAAUUCUGACACUUUACAACAUAGGUGAACCUUGAAGACCUUAUGUUGAGAGAAAUAAGCCAGUCACAAAGGACAAAUAUUGUAUGAGUCCACUUACAUGAGGUACCUAGAGUGGUCAAAUUCAUAGAGACAGAAAGUAGAAUGGUGCUGCCAGGGGCUGAGGGGAGGGGGGACUGCAGAGUUAUUGUUUAAUGGGUAUAGAGCUUCAAUUUUGCAAAAUAAAGGGUUCUAUGAAUGGAUGGUGUUAAUGGUUGCAGAACAACGCAAAUAUAUCAAUGCCACUGAACCGUACACUUAAAAAUGGUUAAGAGGGUAAAUUCUAUGUUAUGUGUAUUUUACCAUAAUUCUAAAAAAAUGACUAGGGCUGCUACUGAAGUGGGUGAUAGUGGUGCUAGUAAAAGCUGCCCUUGGUCACACUUGGUACAUUGUAGAUGGCUGAUAAAUAACUGUUGCUUGAAUAAAUAAAUGAGUUGGCCAAUGAAUGCAUGGAAGGCUCAAGUUUCCUGUCUUCCUCAAAUUGCCUUCCCCAAAGCAUUGAUCAUAUUCUGGCUUCAAGGCCAGGGAUAUUCUCGAAAUUCAGGUUGUCAUGGCUCAGGGGCCCAGGUGUUUCCCAGCAGACCAAGGCCCACUUGACCAAAGACUUGGGCAGAAUAAGAGAGUCCCUGAAAGUCUCAGGGUUGGAAAGAACUAUAAAGGUAGUGCAAUCUAUCUCCUUUUUUUUUUCCUUUUUCUCCCCAAAGUCCCCCGGUACAUAGUUGUAUAUUCUUUGUUGUGGGUCC